RNAcentral lists this ribosomal RNA (712 nucleotides) under uncultured Sphingobacteriales bacterium. RNAcentral describes it as "bacterial SSU rRNA". It matches the Rfam family "Bacterial small subunit ribosomal RNA", at positions 46 to 754 of the family's 1533-position model. Lineage: Bacteria; Pseudomonadati; Bacteroidota; Sphingobacteriia; Sphingobacteriales. The record is from RNAcentral.
GCUUAUACAUGCAGUCGAGGGGCAGCGGGGGUAGCAAUACCUGCCGGCGACCGGCAAACGGGUGAGGAACAUGUACGCAACCUUCCUUUAACUGGAGGAUAGCCCCUCGAAAGAGGGAUUAAUACUCCGUAACAUAUUGAAGUGGCAUCACUUUAAUAUUAUAGUUCCGGCGGUUAAAGAUGGGCGUGCAACUGAUUAGAUAGUUGGCGGGGUAACGGCCCACCAAGUCAGCGAUCAGUAACUGGUGUGAGAGCACGACCAGUCACACGGGCACUGAGACACGGGCCCGACUCCUACGGGAGGCAGCAGUAAGGAAUAUUGGUCAAUGGACGCAAGUCUGAACCAGCCAUGCCGCGUGGAGGAUUAAGGCCCUCUGGGUUGUAAACUCCUUUUAUCUGGGAAGAAAUGUUUCGAUUCUUCGGAACUUGACGGUACCAGAGGAAUAAGCACCGGCUAACUCCGUGCCAGCAGCCGCGGUAAUACGGAGGGUGCAAGCGUUAUCCGGAUUCACUGGGUUUAAAGGGUGCGUAGGCGGGUAGAUAAGUCAGUGGUGAAAUCUCCGAGCUUAACUCGGAAACUGCCAUUGAUACUAUUUAUCUUGAAUAUUGUGGAGGUAAGCGGAAUAUGUCAUGUAGCGGUGAAAUGCUUANAUAUGACAUAGAACACCAAUUGCGAAGGCAGCUUUACUACGCAGUUAUUGACGCUGAGGCAC